GGGAGUAUGGUCACAAGGCUGAAACUUAAAGGAAUUGACGGAAGGGCACACCAGGAGUGGAGCCUGCGGCUUAAUUUGACUCAACACGGGAAAACUUACCAAGACCGAACAGUGUAAGGAAUGACAGGUUACUGGGUCUUUCAUGAUUCAUCGGGGAGUGGUGCAUGGCCGUUCUUAGUUCGUGGACUGAUUUGUCUGGUUAAUUCCGAUAACGAACGAGACUUGAACUUAUUAAUUAGUUGGGUGGAAAUCAUCUUCGGGUGGUUCUGCUUACUAUCCGCAAGGAUGGCGUGAAGAGUUUAUCUUCGUGACUUCUUAAAGGGACACAUCUUCAACGUUCUCGUAUGUUUGACUGGGUUCUCAGAGCAAUCUGUUGAUCCUAGACAAAUGUCGGGAAAAAGAAGAAGGAAGCGUCAAGCAAUAACAGGUCUGUGAUGCCCUUAGACAUCUUGGGCUGCACGCGUGCUACAAUGAAAGUACUAACGAGUUUUCGCUGUUUGCGGGUGGUAAUGAGUUUCGCAACUAAUUGCUAUUUGCAGGCAGCAAUUUCCAAGUCCGAAAGGACAAGGCAAGCUCUAAUGUCUUUUAUUUAAUUCUUGACUGGGAUGAAUGAUUGGAAUUAUUUGUUCUGAACAAGGAAUUCCUUGUAAGCGCAAGUCAUUACCUUGCGCUGAAUAAGUCCCUGCCCUUUGUACACACCGCCCGUCGCUCCUACCGAUUGAAUAAAGAGGUGAAAUCUCAGGAUUUUGGUGGCUUGCCAUUGGGAGAAUGAGAGUAAAUCUCUUUGUUUAGAGGAAGGAGAAGUC
This 806-nucleotide ribosomal RNA is filed under the name Entamoeba coli. Its description in RNAcentral is "bacterial SSU rRNA". It matches the Rfam family "Eukaryotic small subunit ribosomal RNA", at positions 1119 to 1790 of the family's 1831-position model. The record is from RNAcentral. Lineage: Eukaryota; Evosea; Mastigamoebida; Endamoebidae.